Molecule: long non-coding RNA, 5277 nt
Filed under: Triticum aestivum (bread wheat)
Lineage: Eukaryota; Viridiplantae; Streptophyta; Magnoliopsida; Poales; Poaceae
Description: long non-coding RNA (TAES_LNC001962)
Source: RNAcentral
UCUAGUCGAAGUCAGGCAUGUUUCCAUCAAACGUACGCUGAUACCACUAUAUAAUGAUGCUCUGUAGCAGUACGGUACUCUUUUAUGGCUGCCCCAAGCAAGUAGAUGCACCAGUUCAAGAACCAAAGUGAUUUACAUGGAUUAGAGCUCCCGUAUCUUGAAGAAACAACUACAUAAAUGGCAGCAACGAACUUAAUCAACCCAGCAUUUGCUACCAUAGCUAUCUUCUUCUUCUUCGACCACAUUACAUAUUUUAAUCUGAUGGCAAAAGAUUAUGUGCACUUUAAGAGCAUCCGGGUAGCAAUUCAGUACAGUUAUACAGUAUAUUGGAGGCUAACUGAACCUAACUUAACUCCAUCUUUUAAGGCGAGGCCAAGCUUAGCUUAUAUUGGAGGCUCAUUAUAGAGGAGGACUGUUGCUCUGGAUAAAUUAGAUUGAACCCCAUUCUCAUCUCGAAAUAGUCCUUGUCUAUGCAUGGCGCCUCUCCCACCACCAGCUUUGGCUCCCUGGCAAGGCAUCACCUGGAAUGAAAAUAUGAUGGUCAAUGAGGUUUAUCUGUGGUAUGGGUUGUGUAACAAGCUUACCCAUGUAGUAUGAAGUUGUGGACGCAUGAGAACCAACAAAAACAAACAUAGAAAACCAACACAAAACAUAUGAUUUGGAGCUUUACUUCUAAGAUUAUUUAUCAAAGUAAGAGGUGAGCAAGCCCUAAAUGUAUGACUAAAAUGUGUUAGUGGACCCCAUGAACCAAUAAAGCCUAACAAGAUGGCAACGGGUACCUGUUACCCGAUCCCCGACGGGUAAUUGCUCAAUUAAGGAACGAGUUUGGGCCACAUUUGGUGCCCACGGGUAAGUAAAUGGCAAAAAAAUCCUUACCCACUGGGUAACGCAGGUACAUGUACGUUCGUCCAUAAGUGAUUACCCAUACUUGUUACCCACUGGUACCCAGUAGUGAAGGCCUGACAUGUGGACCCCGUCUUUUGUUACUCAGUUUUGAGCUAUAUCAUUGUCAUUUGUCUUGCGAUGAACUACGCCAUCUAGGAUCACUCUUGAGAGUUAUGACUUGUGACUUUGUGAGAUGUGAGAAAGUUUUGAUACUUGAUCGUUUGAACCUUGAUACUUGUUAUGAUAAUGAUGUGAUGCAUAAAUUAUGCUAGUAUCAAAUUGAUGGGUGUUUAGUGUUAUGAUGUGAUGGCAUACACUUGUUGUGCAAUUAUUCUAUUGAAUUGAUGGAUAAUAGUGUUACGAUGUGAUGGUAUGCACUUGUGCUGUGCAAUUAUUCUAUUGAAUUAAUGGUCAUUAGUGUUAUGAUGUGAUGGUAUGCAAUUGUGCUAUGCAACUAUGCUAUUGAACUGCAGGAUGUUAUGAUUUUGGAUAAUAAGUUGCUGGUUUGAUAUGUGUGAAUUGCUCCUGGAGGUUGGCAUCAGAAAGGGCGGGUAUACCUGCGGGGAAGAAUUGUCUGUCGGGCGACGAGUAUGGGUGAAAUUCUUCCCCGCGGUGGGUAUGGGGUAAUGGGCAAGCAUGUGCUUUCACGGGCAUGAAAAAAAAGGCUUUACCUGGUCGGGUAAUUACCCAUUGCCAUCUUGAGCCUUAAUGGGCAUGCUCAGAAAGAACUAGAUGACCAUGUGUGAAUGUAGGACUAAAAGGUGUUAGUGGACCUCAAGAGCCAACACAGCCUAAGAGUCGGGGACUAGUAGGUUGGUACCCAGCCUCUUGAUGGCACCAUCGUACCUCAGUGACAGAAGACAUACUCUGAUGCAACUACAGUAGCACUAUCUUCUUGUUAUAACGAUACCACUGCAACAUUGGAAACCACCACCUAUCGGCUACCAGAUAACCAACAAUUGCACAAACAGGUUAACAUGAGAAGGCUUUAAGCUUACCAGGCUACCAGCCAUGCAUUCUACAGCUCUGGUCGGGCUGCGGCUGUUUCUGCUGCUGCUCUCCUUUGGCCUCUCCUGCCGACUCAUGCACCGAGCAAGAGGAGCACUCCCUCCUCCAGUUCCUCACUGGGUUAUCUCAAGAUGCCGGCCUUGCCAUGUCGUGGAGAAACGUCACGGACUGCUGCGAAUGGGAAGGCAUAACCUGCAACAGGAGCGGGGGCGUCACUGAGGUCUCGCUGGCAUCUAAAGGGCUUGAAGGGCGCAUCUCGCCACACCUUGCCGGCCUCACCGGCCUGCUGCGUGUCAACCUUUCACACAACUCAUUCUCCGGAGGCCUUCCGCCGGAGCUCAUGUAUUCCAGAAGCAUCGUCGUCCUCGACGUCAGCUUUAGCAGGCUUAGUGGGGUGCUGCAUGAGCCGCCGUCUUCGGUUACCACCACCCUGACUCUGCAGGUACUGAACAUCUCGAGCAACCAAUUCGGUGCAGAAUUUCCAUCCUACACAUGGAAGUUGAUGCGGAAUUUGGUCGUCCUCAACGCAAGCAACAACAGCUUCACUGGGCACAUACCACCUUCUCUCUGCCUUUCGUCAUCAUUGGCCAUGCUUGACCUUUGUUACAACCAAUUGAGUGGCGGUAUUCCUGCUGCACUUGGCGAUUGCUCCACACUCGAAGUGUUCAAGGUUGGGCACAACAACCUAAGUGGGACUCUCCCUGCUGAACUCUUCCAUGCCACUUCCCUGGAGCACCUCUCCUUCCCCAACAACGGAUUACAAGGAGAACUUGAUGGCGCAAACAUAGUAAAACUCAGUAAUCUGGUUACUCUCGACCUCCGAGAAAACAAAUUCAGUGGGAAGAUCCCAGGCUCCAUAGGUCAGUUGAAGAGGCUAGAGGAGCUCUAUUUGGGUAACAAUAACAUGUCUGGGGAGCUGCCAUCAACUCUGAGUAACUGCACGCGUCUCAUGGUCAUUGAUCUGAAGAUCAACAACUUCAGUGGAGAUCUAGGCAGGGUCAACUUCUCCACCCUACAGAACCUAACACAUUUAGAUAUUCUGAGAAAUAACUUCAGUGGCAUAGUUCCAGAAAGCAUAUACUCAUGCAGCAAUUUGAUUGCACUGCGGGUGUCGUUGAACCAUUUCCAUGGUGAGAUCUCACCAAGAAUAGGGAAUCUGCACCUAUCUUUCCUGUCACUUGCUAGAAACCCUUUUACAAAUAUCACAAAAGCUUUUCAUGUCUUCAAUAGCUUCAGGAACAUCACCACUCUGAUUAUUGCCGAGAACUUCGUGAAUGAGAUGAUGCCACAAGAUGAGACCCUAGAUGGUUUUCGGAAUCUUCAAUAUAUCCACAUGGCCGACAGCGCAUUAACUGGGCACUUGCCAGUUUGGUUAUCAAAGCUCAGAAACUUGAAGGUACUAAAGUUGUCCAACAAUCGACUUACUGGACCAAUGCCAGGCUGGAUCAACUCCCUACAUAGCCUGUUCUAUCUGGAUGUAUCAAACAACAGUUUUACCGGGCAAAUCCCAAUCACCUUGAUGGAGAUCCCAAUGCUCAAAGAUAAUACAGCAGCUUAUUUGGAUCCUGGCCAAGUUGAACUACCUCUCUUUUGGAGGAAUAUAUCGCGCCAAUACCAUUUUCUUACAGCUUUCCCUACUCUCUUGAAUCUGAGCAUCAACAAUUUCACAGGUGUGAUUCCACCGGAGAUUGGUCAACUGAAAGUGCUUUCUGAACUCGAUUUCAGCUCUAACAAAUUAUAUGGAGUGAUUCCGCUGUCGGUCUGCAAUCUCACGAAGUUGGAGGUGCUAGACUUGUCUAAUAACCAUCUGAGGGGUGUAAUCCCCGCGGCACUGGAGAGACUUCACUUCCUUUCUGCAUUCAACAUUUCUAACAAUGACCUAGAAGGGCCUGUACCAGCAGGAGGCCAGUUGAGCACAUUUCCAGAUUCCAGUUUUGAUGGGAACCCAAAGCUGUGUGGCACUAUGCUUGUUCACCGUUGUAGUUCAACCGGAGCAGAUGUUGUCUACGUUAUCUCUGCAAAACAGCUCAGCGUCAAGGUCAUAUUUUUUGUUGGCUUUGGUUUGUUUUUUGGAGUAGGCGUGCUAUAUGAUCAGCUAGUGUUAUAUAGGUAUUUCGGCUAAGCCGAUUUCAAUUGUAAUUUGUUCUAAUAUAUUCAAUGGAUAGAGGUAAAUCAAGCAAUAAAUAGCCAUGAGUUUUUUUUUUGUGUGUGUGUGUCUGUGCUUGAAUCCACCUGUAGUUAGAUCUUGUUAUAUAUUACUUGAGUCAGCUAAACAUUAUGUUGUUCGCUUCCUGAAUGAGAGAAGUACACUGCAUUCUUUUUCUAGCUAGCAGCCUUGAUGAGAGGUAGUAGUAAUUCUGUACUUUUCAGAUUGGACAUCACGGUUGUGCAGAAUUCAAGUGGGAAGUGUCCAGGGUAAUGUAAUUUUCUUUUAAACAGGGUUGGACCUAGCGUAAAUAUAAAACUACUCCAAAGAACAAACCAAAGCCAACAAGUGAAUACCUAUAGGGGUUAUCAUCAGCUAAUAAUUAAAUGUAGGGGUUAUUAUCAGUUCUAUAUCUGAGUAGUCAUUACUUAGUUGACCAUAGAGCUAAAACUUCAUAGAACAUUACACAUAUUUGGUCCAGAUAUGAACAACUCCAUGUAAGUAUUUUUUUUUUCUUUUCUGUUUUGCAGCGCUACUUCAUGUAACAACCUAUUGUGAAAACAUCUUCAGAGAAACUAUACUGAAAAUUCCAAAAAUAUAUCAUGGUAUUUUCAAAUAUAUCAUGCCAGUCAAGCUCAUGCUAGACAACAAUUAAAUGGAUAAAACUGAUAAUAACCCCUACUUUAAUUCAGAGCUCAAUCUACACAGGGCAAACAAGUCGCAGAGCAAGCCAGUAAGCUGCUUUUUCAGGGUCAGUAACCUACCCUUGACAAUAGCAAGUAAUUACUAUAUACAAAUCUGCAAAAACAGCACAUCAAUUUGCGCUUAGCUACAAUAUACUGGCAGAAUACAGGGGCGACUGGUACAUCCACCGAAAAUCUGUAAGCAAGAGCACUGACAAAAUACCUCCAGAGGACAUACCACCAGAUCAUUCACGCUCCGCCUGACCGCCGGCGAUCCAGCAUCCCGAGCUUGAUUUCGAUUCCACCGAGGGCCUGAAGAUUCGCUAGGGCUCGCGCAACCGCCGUGUCGCGCGGGGCGACGGGGCCGGGGGUGCGGGAGAUGAACGCGAGAAAUGAUAUCGCGCGCGCGGGGGCGCGCUCUCUUUUGUGUGCUCUGGAUGCGCGCUCGAUAGCUUGAACGGCGAGAGGGCGGGGUGGCCACCGGACUGGAGGGAGGCGGCGAGGGGCGCCGGCCGGCAGCGGAGCAGCUCGACCAACCGGAAUCUGUCGCAUGGG